CCUACGGGAGGCAGCAGUGAGGAAUAUUGGUCAAUGGACGAGAGUCUGAACCAGCCAAGUAGCGUGAAGGAUGACUGCCCUAUGGGUUGUAAACUUCUUUUAUAGGGGAAUAAAGGUAUCCACGUGUGGAUAUUUGCAUGUACCCUAUGAAUAAGCAUCGGCUAACUCCGUGCCAGCAGCCGCGGUAAUACGGAGGAUGCGAGCGUUAUCCGGAUUUAUUGGGUUUAAAGGGUGCGUAGGUUGUUUUUUAAGUCAGCGGUGAAAGUUUGUGGCUCAACCAUAAAAUUGCCGUUGAAACUGGAAGACUUGAGUGUGUUUGAGGUAGGCGGAAUGCGUGGUGUAGCGGUGAAAUGCAUAGAUAUCGCGCAGAACCCCGAUUGCGAAGGCAGCGUGCCGUGCCGCCACUGACGCUGAGGCACGAAAGCGCGGGGAUCGAACAGGAUUAGAUACCCCAGUAGUC
Molecule: ribosomal RNA, 460 nt
Filed under: uncultured bacterium
Lineage: Bacteria
Description: partial 16S ribosomal RNA
Rfam family: Bacterial small subunit ribosomal RNA
Source: RNAcentral